Molecule: ribosomal RNA, 787 nt
Filed under: Macrococcus sp. Z8B-62
Lineage: Bacteria; Bacillati; Bacillota; Bacilli; Caryophanales; Staphylococcaceae
Description: bacterial SSU rRNA
Rfam family: Bacterial small subunit ribosomal RNA
Source: RNAcentral
GCUAAUACAUGCAGUCGAGCGAAUUGACAGAGGUGCUUGCACCUCUCGAUUUUAGCGGCGGACGGGUGAGUAACACGUGGGUAACCUACCUAUAAGACUGGGAUAACUUCGGGAAACCGGAGCUAAUACCGGAUAAUAUUUAGCUUCGCAUGAAGCAAUAGUGAAAGACGGUUCUGCUGUCACUUAUAGAUGGACCUGCGGUGUAUUAGCUAGUUGGUGAGGUAACGGCUCACCAAGGCAACGAUACAUAGCCGACCUGAGAGGGUGAUCGGCCACACUGGGACUGAGACACGGCCCAGACUCCUACGGGAGGCAGCAGUAGGGAAUCUUCCGCAAUGGACGAAAGUCUGACGGAGCAACGCCGCGUGAGUGAAGAAGGUUUUCGGAUCGUAAAACUCUGUUGUAAGGGAAGAACAAGUACGUUAGUAACUGAACGUACCUUGACGGUACCUUACCAGAAAGCCACGGCUAACUACGUGCCAGCAGCCGCGGUAAUACGUAGGUGGCAAGCGUUAUCCGGAAUUAUUGGGCGUAAAGCGCGCGUAGGCGGUCUCUUAAGUCUGAUGUGAAAGCCCCCGGCUCAACCGGGGAGGGUCAUUGGAAACUGGGAGACUUGAGUACAGAAGAGGAGAGUGGAAUUCCAUGUGUAGCGGUGAAAUGCGCAGAGAUAUGGAGGAACACCAGUGGCGAAGGCGGCUCUCUGGUCUGUAACUGACGCUGAGGUGCGAAAGCGUGGGGAUCAAACAGGAUUAGAUACCCUGGUAGUCCACGCCGUAAACGAUGAGUG